Molecule: long non-coding RNA, 560 nt
Organism: Rhincodon typus (whale shark)
Lineage: Eukaryota; Metazoa; Chordata; Chondrichthyes; Orectolobiformes; Rhincodontidae
Exons: 3
Source: RefSeq, a predicted model, not a curated record
GGUGGUUGUCCAGGAAGCGGUGGCACACACUCACCCUCAGCGGUAAGGCCGCUGCCGGCUCCACUUCCCCACGAGAUCCCUGCGUCUGCGUCUGCGUCUACCACAGCGCUCUGACAUCACCGGCUGCAGGCCCCGCCUUAUGACAUCAGUCAACGCAAACCCCGCCCCUUACAAUGACAUCUCCGCCGGGAAGCCACGCCCCCUGCUUUCCGUUUCCACCCCCCCCCCGGAGCACCGCUUGGAAGUCCGCUCAGUCUCGCUGUCAAUCACAGCCACGGCCGCAGACGGUCACAUCACGGUAGUGCGCGAUGACAUCAGCGGACAAUGGCCGUGCUGGCGUCACCGUGCGUCAUGACACCUCGGUGGGGGGCCGAAUCCAAGAUGGCGGCGGCGGUGUUGGUGGCGGCACGUCCUCCUCUCAGUUGACCCAAUUGGCAUACCUGGAAAAAUGUGGAACAUGGCACUGAGAGGGGACACAUCGAGUUGCACUUCAAAGGACGUUUAAAACGUAUCUCCUUCUGUUUCCUGGAGCCUUCCCCCCCCCACACUAGUCCCCCCGC